UUCGCAAUGCCCGAAAGGGUGACGAAGCGACGCCGCGUGUGGGAAGAAGGCCUUCGGGUUGUAAACCACUGUCGGGAGUUAAGAAAUGCAAGGAUAUGAAUAGUGUCUUUGCUUGACUAAGGCUCCGGAGGAAGCCACGGCUAACUCUGUGCCAGCAGCCGCGGUAAUACAGAGGCGGCAAGCGUUGUUCGGAGUUAUUGGGCGUAAAGAGCACGUAGGCGGCUAUGUAAGUCGGUUGUGAAAGCCUUCCGCUCAACGGGAGAACAGCAUCCGAUACUGUAUGGCUUGAGUGCUGGAGGGGAGAGCGGAACUUCUGGUGGAGCGGUGAAAUGCGUAGAUAUCAGAAGGAACGCCGGCGGCGAAAGCGGCUCUCUGGCCCAUAACUGACGCUGAGUGUGCGAAAGCUAGGGGAGCAAACGGGAUUAGAUACCCCGGUAGUCCUAGCCGUAAACGAUGGGCACUAAGUAGAGGGGUUUU
Molecule: ribosomal RNA, 477 nt
Filed under: uncultured bacterium
Lineage: Bacteria
Description: bacterial SSU rRNA
Rfam family: Bacterial small subunit ribosomal RNA
Source: RNAcentral